RNAcentral lists this ribosomal RNA (450 nucleotides) under uncultured organism. RNAcentral describes it as "partial 16S ribosomal RNA". It matches the Rfam family "Bacterial small subunit ribosomal RNA", at positions 329 to 796 of the family's 1533-position model. The record is from RNAcentral.
ACGUACACUCCUGCGGGAGGCAGCAGUGGGGAAUAUUGGACAAUGGGCGCAAGCCUGAUCCAGCCAUGCCGCGUGAGUGAUGAAGGCCCUAGGGUUGUAAAGCUCUUUCACCGGUGAAGAUAAUGACGGUAACCGGAGAAGAAGCCCCGGCUAACUUCGUGCCAGCAGCCGCGGUAAUACGAAGGGGGCUAGCGUUGUUCGGAUUUACUGGGCGUAAAGCGCACGUAGGCGGACUAUUAAGUCAGGGGUGAAAUCCCGGGGCUCAACCCCGGAACUGCCUUUGAUACUGGUAGUCUUGAGUUCGAGAGAGGUGAGUGGAAUUCCGAGUGUAGAGGUGAAAUUCGUAGAUAUUCGGAGGAACACCAGUGGCGAAGGCGGCUCACUGGCUCGAUACUGACGCUGAGGUGCGAAAGCAUGGGGAGCAAACAGGAUUAGAUACCCUUGUAGUCC